AUGCGAAACCGGCCUCGAGAAGGCCGGUCGCCGGAGCGUGGCGGCUUCGGCCUGAAGAUGCAGCCGAAA
RNAcentral lists this non-coding RNA (69 nucleotides) under Desulfarculales bacterium. The record is from RNAcentral. Lineage: Bacteria; Pseudomonadati; Thermodesulfobacteriota; Desulfarculia; Desulfarculales.